GACGAACGCUGGCGGCGUGCUUAACACAUGCAAGUCGAACGGAAAGGCCCUGCUUUUGUGGGGUGCUCGAUUGGCGAACGGGUGAGUAACACGUGAGUAACCUGCCCUUGACUUUGGGAUAACUUCAGGAAACUGGGGCUAAUACCGGAUAGGAGCUCCUGCUGCAUGGUGGGGGUUGGAAAGUUUCGGCGGUUGGGGAUGGACUCGCGGCUUAUCAGCUUGUUGGUGGGGUAGUGGCUUACCAAGGCUUUGACGGGUAGCCGGCCUGAGAGGGUGACCGGCCACAUGGGGACUGAGAUACGGCCCAGACGGCUACGGGAGGCAGCAGUGGGGAAUAUUGCACAAUGGGGGGAAGCCUGAUGUAGCAACGCCGCGUGCGGGAUGACGGCCUUCGGGUGGUAAACCGCUUUCGACUGUGACGAAGCGUGAGUGACGGUAAUGGGUAAAGAAGCACCGGCUAACUACGUG
This 468-nucleotide ribosomal RNA is filed under the name uncultured bacterium. Its description in RNAcentral is "partial 16S ribosomal RNA". It matches the Rfam family "Bacterial small subunit ribosomal RNA", at positions 28 to 507 of the family's 1533-position model. The record is from RNAcentral.